UUGGCCUCAAAUCGAGUAGGAUUACCCGCUGAACUUAAGCAUAUCAAUAAGCGGAGGAAAAGAAACUAACAAGGAUUCCCCUAGUAACGGCGAGUGAAGAGGGAAGAGCUCAAAUUUUGAAUCUGGCGUCUUUGGCGUCCGAGUUGUAAUCUAGAGAAGUGUUUUCCGUGGCGGACCAUGCAUAAGUCUCCUGGAAUGGAGUGUCAUAGAGGGUGAGAAUCCCGUUUGUGGCAUGGACUACCGUUGCUCUUGUGAUACACUCUCAACGAGUCGAGUUGUUUGGGAAUGCAGCUCUAAAUGGGUGGUAAAUGCCAUCUAAAGCUAAAUAUUGGCGAGAGACCGAUAGCGAACAAGUACCGUGAGGGAAAGAU
This 371-nucleotide ribosomal RNA is filed under the name uncultured Sebacinaceae. RNAcentral's name for it is "eukaryotic LSU rRNA". It matches the Rfam family "Eukaryotic large subunit ribosomal RNA", at positions 1 to 365 of the family's 3401-position model. Lineage: Eukaryota; Fungi; Basidiomycota; Agaricomycetes; Sebacinales; Sebacinaceae. The record is from RNAcentral.